CAUCACUAGCUUCAAUCAUGCAUGGGCUGAGCAUGUAACGCAGGUAGAGAUGUCAAAAUGGGUUAAAAUUCAUGGGUUAACUCAACUCAAUUCAACCCAUGAACUCUAAUGAGUUGAAAAUUUUGACUCAAAUGAGUUAAUGGGUCAAAUGAGUUGAUGAGUCAAUUGGUUUGAUGAGUAAAAUGAGUUGGGUUGUAAUGGUUAAUGAUUUCAAUGGUUUACCCAAUUAACCCAUCAAGUUUUGUAAAAUUGAAUUAAACCAACUAAAAUUUCUAAACCAAUGCCAAUUUAAGUUUAACCAACACAUUUAAACCAAUUUAAUAAAAUUAAUAUUUUUCCAAAUUUCUUAAAUAUACAAGCGAUGAAAUUGAUAAAAAGUAAACUCGUAAUUUUUCACUAAAAAGAUAAACCCGUGAUUUUCCCGCCAAAAACGUAAAUCCAUAAUUUUCCCGCCAAAAACGUAAACUCGUAAUUUUCCAGCCAAAAACGCAAAUCCGUAAUUUUCCCGCCAAAAACGUAAACUCGUAAUUUCCCGCCAAAAACGUAAACCCGUGAUUUUCCCGCCAAAAACGUAAAUCCGUUAUUUUCCCGCCAAAACGUAAACUCAUAAUUUUCCCGCCAAAAACGUAAAUCCGUAAUUUUCCCGCCAAAAACGUAAACUCGUAAUUUUCCCGCCAAAAACGUUAACCCGUGAUUUUCCCGCCAAAAACGUAAACCCGAGAUUUUCCUGUCAAAAAUGUAAACCCGUAAUUUUCCCACCAAAAACAUAAACCCGUAAUUUUCCUGCCAAAAACGUAAACCUAUAAUUUUCUCGCCAAAAACAUAAACCUGUGAUUUUUCCGCCAAAAACGUAAACCCGUAAAAAGUGGAAUCCGUAAAUAUUUUAAGUUUGAUGAUAAUGAAUUAAUAAUA
This 912-nucleotide small RNA is filed under the name Arabidopsis thaliana (thale cress). Its description in RNAcentral is "ATSL229710". The record is from RNAcentral. Lineage: Eukaryota; Viridiplantae; Streptophyta; Magnoliopsida; Brassicales; Brassicaceae.